This 1401-nucleotide ribosomal RNA is filed under the name uncultured bacterium. Its description in RNAcentral is "partial 16S ribosomal RNA". It matches the Rfam family "Bacterial small subunit ribosomal RNA". The record is from RNAcentral.
AGAGUUUGAUCCUGGCUCAGGAUGAACGCUAGCUACAGGCUUAACACAUGCAAGUCGAGGGGCAGCAUGGUCUUAGCUUGCUAAGGCCGAUGGCGACCGGCGCACGGGUGAGUAACACGUAUCCAACCUGCCGUCUACUCUUGGACAGCCUUCUGAAAGGAAGAUUAAUACAAGAUGGCAUCAUGAGUCCGCAUGUUCACAUGAUUAAAGGUAUUCCGGUAGACGAUGGGGAUGCGUUCCAUUAGAUAGUAGGCGGGGUAACGGCCCACCUAGUCUUCGAUGGAUAGGGGUUCUGAGAGGAAGGUCCCCCACAUUGGAACUGAGACACGGUCCAAACUCCUACGGGAGGCAGCAGUGAGGAAUAUUGGUCAAUGGGCGAGAGCCUGAACCAGCCAAGUAGCGUGAAGGAUGACUGCCCUAUGGGUUGUAAACUUCUUUUAUAAAGGAAUAAAGUCGGGUAUGCAUACCCGUUUGCAUGUACUUUAUGAAUAAGGAUCGGCUAACUCCGUGCCAGCAGCCGCGGUAAUACGGAGGAUCCGAGCGUUAUCCGGAUUUAUUGGGUUUAAAGGGAGCGUAGAUGGAUGUUUAAGUCAGUUGUGAAAGUUUGCGGCUCAACCGUAAAAUUGCAGUUGAUACUGGAUAUCUUGAGUGCAGUAGAGGCAGGCGGAAUUCCCCGUGUAGCGGUGAAAUGCGUAGAGAUGGGGAGGAACACCAGUGGCGAAGGCGGCCUGCUGGGCUUUAACUGACGCUGAGGCACGAAAGCGUGGGUAGCAAACAGAAUUAGAUACCCUGGUAGUCCACACUGUAAACGAUGAUAACUAGGUGUGGGGGGUCUGACCCCUUCCGUGCCGCAGCUAACGCAAUAAGUUAUCCACCUGGGGAGUACGACCGCAAGGUUGAAACUCAAAGGAAUUGACGGGGACCCGCACAAGCAGUGGAUUAUGUGGUUUAAUUCGAAGCAACGCGAAGAACCUUACCAGCACUUGACAUCCGACUAACGAAGUAGAGAUACAUUAGGUGCCCUUCGGGGAAAGUCGAGACAGGUGGUGCAUGGUUGUCGUCAGCUCGUGUCGUGAGAUGUUGGGUUAAGUCCCGCAACGAGCGCAACCCCUGCCAUUAGUUGCUACGCAAGAGCACUCUAAUGGGACCGCUACCGACAAGGUGGAGGAAGGUGGGGACGACGUCAAAUCAUCAUGCCCCUUAUGUGCUGGGCUACACACGUAAUACAAUGGUCGGCAACAAAGGGCAGCGAAACCGCGAGGUGGAGCAAAUCCCAGAAACCCGACCCCAGUUCGGAUCGUAGGCUGCAACCCGCCUACGUGAAGUUGGAAUCGCUAGUAAUCGCAGGUCAGCAUACUGCGGUGAAUACGUUCCCGGGCCUUGUACUCACCGCCCGUCAAG